Molecule: non-coding RNA, 50 nt
Organism: Caenorhabditis elegans
Lineage: Eukaryota; Metazoa; Nematoda; Chromadorea; Rhabditida; Rhabditidae
Source: Ensembl
GGAAGGCGCUUUUCAAAGUUAAACGAUGUUUCGCAAUGACAACUUGACAG